This 343-nucleotide ribosomal RNA is filed under the name uncultured bacterium. RNAcentral's name for it is "bacterial SSU rRNA". It matches the Rfam family "Bacterial small subunit ribosomal RNA", at positions 28 to 352 of the family's 1533-position model. The record is from RNAcentral.
GAUCAACGCUGGCGGCGUGCCUCAGACAUGCAAGUCGAACGCGAAAGGCCCCUUCGGGGGCCGAGUAGAGUGGCGCACGGGUGAGUAACACGUAGGUAAUUUGCCUUUGGGUGGGGAAGUAACUCAGGGAAACUUGAGCUAAUACCGCAUAAUGCAGCGGCUCGACAUCGAGACAGUUGUUAAAGCGGGGGAUCGCAAGACCUCGCGCCUGAAGAGAAGCCUGCGGCAGAUUAGCUAGUUGGUAGGGUAAUGGCCUACCAAGGCGACGAUCUGUAACCGGCCUGAGAGGGCGGUCGGUCACACUGACACUGACAUACGGGUCAGACUCCUACGGGGAGGCAGC